CAGCUUAGGCUCGUUGUGUCGACUGAUGCUGCAUCUUGAACUUGCUGCUGACUCCCCGCUUGGACUGGCAGUCGUGCUUCGCGGACAUGCUCUUCACCGAAUUCGAGCAAAAUUCACUGUCAGGUAGUAUCGCAGGUCAACCUGCUGGCGGCCAAUCAAAGCGCAGGAUUUUUACGUCAUUGGUAGCCAAUCAGGGGACGAGCACCAACAGGCAAAAGAAGAGAGAGGGUAACUGGGCGCCACCACUUGAACGCCUGAAAUUCGCAUUGGCUGAUGGAGUUUCGCAUAAAAAUGCACUUUCCCUUUUUUCUUUAGUCUGCAAACGCCGUAAAUUCGAAUUUUUGAACUGUAUGAGAUCAUUUGAUAACUCCACAUGACAUCACCUGCAUAAUUUUAUUGUCUCGCAUAAAAAACACGCAGGCUAAAACAGGAAUGGCUUCUUUUGUUUUCCAAUUUUAUUAUUCCGCCUCCUAUUACUGAUUUAAAAAAGAUAGCCAAAAUAUCCAUCAUUAAAUUUAAUGGGUUGGGUUUAAAUACUAAAGCACGAUUUAUCUAACUUUCAUUUAAGGAAUUAAAAUUUUAAUUUGUAUAGUUCAUUAUCAAAAAGAUUUUCAAGAAUUUGUUCACUUUCCGAAAGGGCUGAAUUUACAAUUUGAAUGGAAGCUGCUGACGAACUGUCAACGCUCUUGGUCGACUGCUGUUUGCUUAUUAGCGCCGUUUCAUCGUGCAAUUUCAUUCUGAAAGUGGAAACACAUGCAAUUACCUCAUUUCACGAGAAUAAUACCAGUAAAGUACGCACUUGUGCAUACGCAAGGCGGUCGACUGGGCAAACGCCUUGCCGCAAACAUCGCAACUGUACGGUCUGACCCCUGAGUGGAUGCGCUCAUGCCUGAUUAUAUGAGAAACGUGGGAAAAGGUUUUGCCGCAGGUCCCGCAAAUGUAUGGCUUGUCAUUGGAAUGAAUUCUGCGGGGAAGGAGAGAAAUAAAUUGAAACAAACGAUGGAAAGUUUUGCGAGUUUUCCUACCUGGUGUGAACGGUUAAGUCGCUUUUUUUAAAGAACGCCUUUCCACAUUGUGCGCAUUUGUGAGGCUUUUCUCCUAUGUGGUCACGACGAACAUGUUC
Cloeon dipterum is the source of this 1123-nucleotide long non-coding RNA. RefSeq lists it as uncharacterized. The record is from RefSeq and is a predicted model, not a curated record. Lineage: Eukaryota; Metazoa; Arthropoda; Insecta; Ephemeroptera; Baetidae. The transcript is spliced from 2 exons.